RNAcentral lists this long non-coding RNA (820 nucleotides) under Sinocyclocheilus anshuiensis. RNAcentral describes it as "lncRNA (ENSSANG00000017746.1)". The record is from RNAcentral. Lineage: Eukaryota; Metazoa; Chordata; Actinopteri; Cypriniformes; Cyprinidae.
GUGGGCAAGAGAGGGGAGGGUUAUGAAUUUCUCACAGGUCAGGAAAUUGGUCAGGGAGGACCCGUCUUGUGACUCCUUGGCAGAGUACUUCCACUCAAAGGGAUUCUUGAUCCAAGAGGGGCAUGACAGGUAGGGAAGUGUGUGAACGUAGAGUCAGUUAGGCAUUGUAAUUCAUUUGUGAUGGGUGUAAUAGACUGUACAGGGGUGUGAUAGUCAUACCAUAGUCAUGGACCCUUUGAUUCCUCCAGCGCUGCAAGGGGGUCAGCCAACAUAAGGGGGUCCCUGCAAAGAGCAAGACGGACUUCCGGAGCUUCUGUCUCGCCACAAUGAUGUGGGUUCAUCACCUUGGUCCUGCCAGCAUUAAAGAGUUCAAGGUCCAGGAGUGGAACGACAGAAUGCCGGAGGCAGACGGAGUCACUGUAACGCUGUCCAAAGGAGCUAUUGAGUUAAGCAGAAAAGAAGAACAUUGGUUGGACUGCUACUUUGUUCAUAUCCGGCCAGAAUAUUUCAAGGCCCAAACUCCAGAGACGACAGGGACCGGUUCUUCCUCGGGGCUUCAGGUGUCCCUCUUAGCAACCCGACAGCCGAUGUGCAAAGGCUACGACAAAAGCAAGUAUUGUAGUGUUUCAUGCGGAUACGGUUGGGUUUCACGACAGGCCAUGACGGACAUUAUACCUUCAUUUCUCCCACCAAUGCAUGUCCGCAGGUAUGUCAUGAGGCUCCAGGAGAGAGCUGUGCCGCCACCAGAGCCACAGGCGGGACUGACGGUUGAUGCCCCCAGCUCAUCUGCGGAAGGGGAGGCACCACACAUGCCGGAGAG